RNAcentral lists this ribosomal RNA (401 nucleotides) under uncultured Rikenellaceae bacterium. RNAcentral's name for it is "bacterial SSU rRNA". It matches the Rfam family "Bacterial small subunit ribosomal RNA", at positions 981 to 1382 of the family's 1533-position model. Lineage: Bacteria; Pseudomonadati; Bacteroidota; Bacteroidia; Bacteroidales; Rikenellaceae. The record is from RNAcentral.
UAGAACGCAAUCGGAAUCAGGCCGAAAGGUCUGCGCCAGCGAUGGCCGCUUGCGAGGUGCUGCAUGGUUGUCGUCAGCUCGUGCCGUGAGGUGUCGGGUUAAGUCCCAUAACGAGCGCAACCCCUACUGCUAGUUGCCAGCGGGUCAUGCCGGGGACUCUAGCGGAACUGCCAGCGUAAGCUGCGAGGAAGGUGGGGAUGACGUCAAAUCAGCACGGCCCUUACGUCCAGGGCUACACACGUGUUACAAUGGCCAGUACAGAGGGCAGCCACCCCGCGAGGGGGCGCUAAUCCUAAAAGCUGGUCCCAGUUCGGAUCGGAGUCUGCAACCCGACUCCGUGAAGCUGGAUUCGCUAGUAAUCGCGCAUCAGCCACGGCGCGGUGAAUACGUUCCCGGGCCUU